Nematolebias whitei (Rio pearlfish) is the source of this 142-nucleotide long non-coding RNA. RefSeq lists it as uncharacterized. The record is from RefSeq and is a predicted model, not a curated record. NCBI's taxonomy places the organism in Eukaryota, Metazoa, Chordata, Actinopteri, Cyprinodontiformes, Rivulidae. The transcript is spliced from 3 exons.
GAAAGAAUGAGCUGUGACCCAGCAGAACCAGACGCGCGCACAGGACGAGCUUGUAGAUAAAAAGACAUGGCCUCCUGUGGUACCCGCCUCGGUUUUCUCUGUGUCUGUUUCCUUGCAGUAGAAGCAGAUUCUUUUUUGGCCC